RNAcentral lists this ribosomal RNA (492 nucleotides) under uncultured bacterium. Its description in RNAcentral is "partial 16S ribosomal RNA". It matches the Rfam family "Bacterial small subunit ribosomal RNA", at positions 39 to 507 of the family's 1533-position model. The record is from RNAcentral.
GGGGGGGGGGGGGGGGGGGGCGGGCGGGGGCGGGUCGGGGGGCAGCGCGGGAGGGGCGUGCUCUUACGGGUGGCGGGUGGCGGACGGGUGCGGAAUCCAUCGGAAUCUACUUUUUCGUGGGGGAGAACGUAGGGAAACUUACGCUAAUACCGCAUACGACCUACGGGUGGAAGCAGGGGAUCUUCGGACCUUUCGCGAUUGACUGAGCCGAUGUCGGAUUAGCUAGUUGGCGGGGUCAAGGCCCACCAAGGCGACGAUCCGUAGCUGGUCUGAGAGGAUGAUCAGCCACACUGGAACUGAGACACGGUCCAGACUCCUACGGGAGGCAGCAGUGGGGAAUAUUGGACAAUGGGCGCAAGCCUGAUCCAGCCAUACCGCGUGGGUGAAGAAGGCCUUCGGGUUGUAAAGCCCUUUUGUUGGGAAAGAAAAGCAGCAGGUUAAUACCCCGCUGUUCUGACGGUACCCAAAGAAUAAGCACCGGCUAACUUCGUG